AGCUACUUAUUUCAAGUCUUUUUUAGGAUUAGAAGAUAUUCAGGGAAGUAAUAUUUUCAUAUUACUCCUUGAAAAUAUUUUUCACAGUAUUAUUUUAUAUUUUAAAAUGUAAUACAAUUAUAUAAAUCAUUCUAAAAUUGGACUCAUUCUUGUGAUAAAACAGAUUACUUGUAGAAAAACUG
RNAcentral lists this unclassified non-coding RNA (182 nucleotides) under uncultured Ascomycota. RNAcentral's name for it is "sequence contains ITS2". Lineage: Eukaryota; Fungi; Ascomycota. The record is from RNAcentral.